Paramormyrops kingsleyae is the source of this 1071-nucleotide non-coding RNA. The record is from RefSeq and is a predicted model, not a curated record. Lineage: Eukaryota; Metazoa; Chordata; Actinopteri; Osteoglossiformes; Mormyridae.
UACAAGUGUGUAGCUCUCAGUCCAUGUUAGCGAAUUAAAUGCUGUUAAAACACCGCGGUGCUGAGAAUGCACGUGCACGCGAUAGGGGGGAGGCUUUCGACACAACCAGCUGGGUUAAUUUCAUCUUGAAGUCAUGAUUGUCCGAUAUAAAUGCCCAUUAUCUAAACAGUUAUUGGACGAUCACCACUUCUAGCCAAAUCUAACCCAACUGACUGAGAAAUGGUGAAGCUCCCCCGCUCGUCUAUCAGUAAGGAAUAACUCUAGAUGGCACACGUGAGCCGCAGUCAUUACUUCACAAAACACGAACGCAGUUCCAGCCAAUCACACGGUAGUGUUUUACGGAUGGACAACCUACGGACAGCGUGAUUGGUUGAAUUUCCGAAGCACGUACGCUUCUGUUUUGGAAGAAAUGAGCGCUGCUUCAGAGGAAGCCUUCCUUACUGUUGAAGACGUAUGCAGCUCAGCAUUCGAAGCAUCUUUUAUUUAGGACAUAUUAUGGAUAAACAAGCAGAUACAGCGUAGCAUGCUGGGAACGAUGUAAAUUCGAAUCCUCUUCUGAGUAAUUUAUUGGUCGACUGGGAGAGGAAUCCAGUAGGUGUCGAUGACAACUUCCUGCCAGUUCCUUGCUGGGAUAUCCAACUUCCUGUUUAAUGGUGGUCGGCAAACACAAUGGAGCAUUCGGGGUUGUUGUUCAGCUGUUCUCUCAAAAAUCUUCCAAAAAUGACCAUGGCACACGUUACACAAUCAGUGGAAAGCCGCAUAUCAUCGAAAAAACUUGAAAAGGGGCACAAACAUUUUCAUAAAAAUUCUUUUCAAAGGUGCAGGUCACUUUACAGGUUGAGCCUGUGCAGUUAAACAGCACGUUAUGCUCAUGCACUGCAGGGAAAGCACUGUGCGCCGACCUGCUCGCCUUGCUUUUCCAGUGUGCACAUGGUAGUAUGAUGAAAAUGCAGACAGCCCCAUCAAGAGUGCCAUGUGCUGACUCUCUGCAGACCUGACAUCGGCCAUGGACUUGGGUAAUUUGCAUUCGUUUAUGUGAUAUGCAUUUCAUAAUAAAACAUUCUUUUUGUA